This is a long non-coding RNA of Octopus sinensis (East Asian common octopus), 648 nucleotides long. RefSeq lists it as uncharacterized. The record is from RefSeq and is a predicted model, not a curated record. The transcript has 2 exons. Lineage: Eukaryota; Metazoa; Mollusca; Cephalopoda; Octopoda; Octopodidae.
AAACACACACACACACACACACACGAGAGCAUCUGCACAUGCUUAAGUAUACAUUGCUUCAUUACCUAUGAUAGUUGUAUUACUGGUUACAUGGUAGUGCUGCCUAGUUUGAGCUCUAUGCUUGUACCAAGCUAGCCAAAUGGUUUGUUAGAUUGUUUCAUAAAUAUACUAUUGCACACACACACACACACACACACACACACAAAUAAAUGUGUAUGUUCUGACAGAAUUGUAUAUCAUGUUUAUGAUUGUUUAUUGAAUUUAGUGAUAAAGAAUCUUCUUCAGUUCUGGAUCCUUAUAUAAUGACUAUAAAUCACAGUCCUUGAUGUACAAGACAUACACCUAUACACACAUAUACAUACAUACAUACAUACAUGUAUAUAUACAUGCAUACAUGCAUACAUACAUACAUACAUACAUACAUACAUACACUGUUUCCUUUCCAACUGUAUAUCACUGAACACGUAAGUUGUUAGUUGAAGCUAUAAGUAUGCUUAUGUAUAUGUGUAUUUAAGCUAUGGGCAUGCUCAAAAACACAUAUAUACACACACACAUGUAUCCUCUUAUGAAACGCAUAAUGUUUGCAUUUGUAAUUCAAAAUUAAAUGUUUCUGUUUUGUUACCAAAAUUUUAAAAAAAAAUUCCUUUC